GCCAAAAUUUAGUCCCGCUUCUACUGGGCCGGCGAUCAUAAUAAACAGAAAUACCACAUGGUGAGCUGGCCUAACAUCUGUAAGCCUAGGGAUCAAGGAGGCCUCGGGAUCAUGUGCUCCAAACGCAUGAAUAUCGCCCUUCUUUCCCGUUGGCUCUGGCGGAUUUUGCAGGGCCAGGGGGGUCUCUGGCUUGACAUCAUUCGGAACAAAUAUUUGCGAGGCCAACCCCUCGCGUUUUGUCAGAGAUCUGGUGGCUCUCAGUUCUAG
RNAcentral lists this ribosomal RNA (267 nucleotides) under Triticum aestivum (bread wheat). RNAcentral's name for it is "partial small subunit ribosomal RNA". Lineage: Eukaryota; Viridiplantae; Streptophyta; Magnoliopsida; Poales; Poaceae. The record is from RNAcentral.